This 277-nucleotide ribosomal RNA is filed under the name uncultured bacterium. RNAcentral describes it as "partial 16S ribosomal RNA". It matches the Rfam family "Bacterial small subunit ribosomal RNA", at positions 79 to 354 of the family's 1533-position model. The record is from RNAcentral.
CCCGGGCCGGACCGGACCGGCNCGACGGAGUAACACGUAUGCAACCUGGCCGUGACAGAUGGAUAACCGGGAGAAAUCCCGCCUAAUACAGCAUGACGCCGGGAAGGGACAUCCCUUUCCGGCCAAAGGGGGCGACUCCGGUCACGGAUGGGCAUGCGGCGCAUUAGGUAGUUGGUGGGGCAACGGCCCACCAAGCCGACGAUGCGUAGGGGUUCUGAGAGGAAGGUCCCCCACAUUGGAACUGAGACACGGUCCAAACUCCUACGGAAGGCAGCAG